UACGUAGGGGGCGAGCGUUGUCCGGAUUCAUUGGGCGUAAAGAGCUCGUAGGCGGCUUGGCAAGUCGGAUGUGAAAACUCCAGGCUCAACCUGGAGCCGCCAUUCGAUACUGCCAUGGCUAGAGUCCGGUAGGGGAGUGUGGAAUUCCCGGUGUAGCGGUGAAAUGCGCAGAUAUCGAGAGGAACACCUGCGGCGAAGGCGGGUUGCUGGGCUGACACUGACGCUGAUGCGCGAAAGCCAGGGGAGCGAACGGG
This 254-nucleotide ribosomal RNA is filed under the name uncultured bacterium. RNAcentral describes it as "partial 16S ribosomal RNA". It matches the Rfam family "Bacterial small subunit ribosomal RNA", at positions 524 to 776 of the family's 1533-position model. The record is from RNAcentral.